GCAACGCGAAGAACCUUACCUGUCUUGACAUCCCGGAGACCCUUAGGAAACUAGGGGUGCUUCCAUCUGGAAGAAUCUGGAGACAGGUGCUGCAUGGCUGUCGUCAGCUCGUGUCGUGAGAUGUUGGGUUAAGUCCCGCAACGAGCGCAACCCUUGCCUUUAGUUGCCAGCAGUUCGGCUGGGCACUCUAAAGGGACUGCCGGUGUUAAACCGGAGGAAGGUGGGGAUGACGUCAAGUCCUCAUGGCCUUUAUGACCAGGGCUACACACGUACUACAAUGGCCGAUACAAAGGGCAGCGACACUGCGAGGUGAAGCCAAUCCCGUAAAAUCGGUCUCAGUCCGGAUUGGAGUCUGCAACUCGACUCCAUGAAGUUGGAAUCGCUAGUAAUCGUGGAUCAGCAUGCCACGGUGAAUACGUUCCCGGGCCUU
Molecule: ribosomal RNA, 430 nt
Filed under: uncultured Desulfobulbus sp.
Lineage: Bacteria; Pseudomonadati; Thermodesulfobacteriota; Desulfobulbia; Desulfobulbales; Desulfobulbaceae
Description: bacterial SSU rRNA
Rfam family: Bacterial small subunit ribosomal RNA
Source: RNAcentral